UUUAAACGACUCCAAACAGGUCCAGAGUAGAGAUGACUGAUGCCCUAGACACCAAACUCAUAGUUGAUUAUUUCCAUUAGCCCUAACAUCGCCGCUGUCAGCGCCGAUUGUGAAGAGGUUAAACUCAUAGCUGAUUAUUUCUAUCAUCCCUAACACCACUGCUGCCAACGCCGAUUGUGAAGAGGUCAAAAUCAUACUGGCGAGGCUCGACGCCAUUAUUGGACUCGGCUCGAGUAUUAAAACGACGGGUGAAACUACUAGAACUAGCACUAGAAAAAGUUAGCGAUUGAGGAAGAAAAAGAAGUGCAGUUUGUUAGGGUAGUUAGCGAUUGAGGAAGAAAAAGAAGUGCCAUUAGCGAUUGAGGAAGAAAAAGAGGCAUGGGCGGUGUAUUUAUGGUGGUGCUGAUGGAGUUUUUUAGGGCAGUUGUUGUCGUAGACGAAAAAGUUACAGCAAAGAGAGUUUUGUGGUGGAGGUGCCAGAUGAAUAAGUGGAGGAGGAGGUGAUGGCAGAUGGUGAGGGGGGAAAAUUCUAGAGAGAAUGAGGAGACUCUCUCUCUCUAAACCCUCGAGGAUGCACUCCAGUCACGGUUUUUUUAGUUUUUA
Molecule: long non-coding RNA, 603 nt
Filed under: Panax ginseng (ginseng)
Lineage: Eukaryota; Viridiplantae; Streptophyta; Magnoliopsida; Apiales; Araliaceae
Description: long non-coding RNA (PGIN_LNC018847)
Source: RNAcentral